This 585-nucleotide ribosomal RNA is filed under the name uncultured bacterium. RNAcentral's name for it is "bacterial SSU rRNA". It matches the Rfam family "Bacterial small subunit ribosomal RNA", at positions 338 to 916 of the family's 1533-position model. The record is from RNAcentral.
CCUACGGGAGGCAGCAGUGGGGAAUUUUGGACAAUGGGCGCAAGCCUGAUCCAGCAAUGCCGCGUGCAGGAUGAAGGCCUUCGGGUUGUAAACUGCUUUUGUACGGAACGAAACGGCGAGCUCUAAUAAAGUUCGCUAAUGACGGUACCGUAAGAAUAAGCACCGGCUAACUACGUGCCAGCAGCCGCGGUAAUACGUAGGGUGCAAGCGUUAAUCGGAAUUACUGGGCGUAAAGCGUGCGCAGGCGGUGAUGUAAGACAGAUGUGAAAUCCCCGGGCUCAACCUGGGACCUGCAUUUGUGACUGCAUCGCUAGAGUACGGUAGAGGGGGAUGGAAUUCCGCGUGUAGCAGUGAAAUGCGUAGAUAUGCGGAGGAACACCGAUGGCGAAGGCAAUCCCCUGGACCUGUACUGACGCUCAUGCACGAAAGCGUGGGGAGCAAACAGGAUUAGAUACCCUGGUAGUCCACGCCCUAAACGAUGUCAACUGGUUGUUGGGUCUUCACUGACUCAGUAACGAAGCUAACGCGUGAAGUUGACCGCCUGGGGAGUACGGCCGCAAGGUUGAAACUCAAAUGAAUUGACGG